UGGGGAAUAUUGCACAAUGGGCGCAAGCCUGAUGCAGCCAUGCCGCGUGUAUGAAGAAGGCCUUCGGGUUGUAAAGUACUUUCAGUCGGGAGGAAGGUGUCAAGGUUAAUAACCUUGGCAAUUGACGUUACCGACAGAAGAAGCACCGGCUAACUCCGUGCCAGCAGCCGCGGUAAUACGGAGGGUGCAAGCGUUAAUCGGAAUUACUGGGCGUAAAUCGCACGCAGGCGGUUGAUUGAGUCAGAUGUGAAAUCCCCGGGCUUAACCCGGGAAUUGCAUCUGAUACUGGUCAGCUAGAGUCUUGUAGAGGGGGGUAGAAUUCCAUGUGUAGCGGUGAAAUGCGUAGAGAUGUGGAGGAAUACCGGUGGCGAAGGCGGCCCCCUGGACAAAGACUGACGCUCAGGUGCGAAAGCGUGGGGAGCAAACAGG
RNAcentral lists this ribosomal RNA (429 nucleotides) under Chloroflexota bacterium. RNAcentral's name for it is "Chloroflexi bacterium partial 16S ribosomal RNA". It matches the Rfam family "Bacterial small subunit ribosomal RNA", at positions 355 to 776 of the family's 1533-position model. The record is from RNAcentral. Lineage: Bacteria; Bacillati; Chloroflexota.